AGUUAGCUGAGGAGUCCAACAUAGUCGGACGAAAUGCGCGUCAUCCUAGAU
RNAcentral lists this non-coding RNA (51 nucleotides) under Trichobilharzia regenti. Lineage: Eukaryota; Metazoa; Platyhelminthes; Trematoda; Strigeidida; Schistosomatidae. The record is from RNAcentral.